RNAcentral lists this ribosomal RNA (497 nucleotides) under uncultured bacterium. RNAcentral's name for it is "partial 16S ribosomal RNA". It matches the Rfam family "Bacterial small subunit ribosomal RNA", at positions 28 to 507 of the family's 1533-position model. The record is from RNAcentral.
GACGAACGCUGGCGGCGUGCCUAAUACAUGCAAGUUGAGCGCUGAAGGUUGGUACUUGUACCAACUGGAUGAGCAGCGAACGGGUGAGUAACGCGUGGGGAAUCUGCCUUUGAGCGGGGGACAACAUUUGGAAACGAAUGCUAAUACCGCAUAAAAACUUUAAACACAAGUUUUAAGUUUGAAAGAUGCAGUUGCAUCACUCAAAGAUGAUCCCGCGUUGUAUUAGCUAGUUGGUGAGGUAAAGGCUCACCAAGGCGAUGAUACAUAGCCGACCUGAGAGGGUGAUCGGCCACAUUGGGACUGAGACACGGCCCAAACUCCUACGGGAGGCAGCAGUAGGGAAUCUUCGGCAAUGGACGAAAGUCUGACCGAGCAACGCCGCGUGAGUGAAGAAGGUUUUCGGAUCGUAAAACUCUGUUGGUAGAGAAGAACGUUGGUGAGAGUGGAAAGCUCAUCAAGUGACGGUAACUACCCAGAAAGGGACGGCUAACUACAUG